RNAcentral lists this long non-coding RNA (394 nucleotides) under Vigna radiata. RNAcentral's name for it is "long non-coding RNA (VRAD_LNC016903)". The record is from RNAcentral. Lineage: Eukaryota; Viridiplantae; Streptophyta; Magnoliopsida; Fabales; Fabaceae.
GGAGUGAUUAAUCCAAACACCUAGACAACCUGCUUCUUAUAUUGCAGAACUUGCACACUAUCUAUUUUAACUGGUGAACCAAUUAGCUUUUUUAACCAAAUUAAAUUUCAAUAAAAUGAAAACCUCAUUUUAGUCAUUGACAUUUACUAGGGAAACAUGAAUGAAAAUAACAUUUAACUAAGUCAAUAAACACUACUACUAUAGUGAACAGUAACGUCGACGUCCAAGUCCAGAGCUGUACCAAAUCUCCACCCUGUUGAAUGGACCAAGGAGUCCUUCCUCAACACUUUCGCCUCCUCACGCCAACGUCGAUGAACCACGAAGCCUUCACGGACCACCAAACCCUAGUCCCACCACGAUUCAACUCUAAUGGAGCCUCCUUCCAACAACGUCG